GACGAACGCUGGCGGCGUGCCUAACACAUGCAAGUCGAACGAUGAACCCGGAGCUUGCUCCGGUGGAUUAGUGGCGAACGGGUGAGUCACACGUGAGUAACCUGCCCUUGACUCUGGGAUAACUGCGGGAAACUGUAGCUAAUACCGGAUACGACCCUCGGCGGCAUCGCCAGGGGGUGGGAAGAAUUUCGGUGAAGGAUGGACUCGCGACCUCUCAGCUAGUUGGUGAGGUAACGGCUCACCAAGGCGACGACGGGUAGCCGGCCUGAGAGGGUGACCGGCCACACUGGGACUGAGACACGGCCCAGACUCCUACGGGAGGCAGCAGUGGGGAAUAUUGCACAAUGGGCGCAAGCCUGAUGCAGCAACGCCGCGUGAGGGAUGACGGCCUUCGGGUUGUAAACCUCUUUUAGUAGGGAAGAAGCGAAAGUGACGGUACCUGCAGGAAAAGCACCGGCUAACUACGUGCCAGCCGCCGCAGUAA
RNAcentral lists this ribosomal RNA (484 nucleotides) under uncultured bacterium. RNAcentral's name for it is "partial 16S ribosomal RNA". It matches the Rfam family "Bacterial small subunit ribosomal RNA", at positions 28 to 523 of the family's 1533-position model. The record is from RNAcentral.